This 466-nucleotide ribosomal RNA is filed under the name uncultured bacterium. RNAcentral's name for it is "SSU rRNA". It matches the Rfam family "Bacterial small subunit ribosomal RNA", at positions 26 to 518 of the family's 1533-position model. The record is from RNAcentral.
AGAACGAACGCUGGCGGCAUGCCUAACACAUGCAAGUCGGACGCUUUCGGGGGUUUCGGCCUCCGAGGGAGUGGCGGACGGGUGAGUAGCGCGUGGGAACCUGCCCCUUUGUGGGGGAUAACCGAGGGAAACUUCGGCUAAUACCGCAUGCGCCCGGGGGUAACUCCGGGGAAAGAUUUAUCGCAGAGGGAGGGGCCCGCGUCGGAUUAGGUAGUUGGUGGGGUAACGGCCUACCAAGCCGGUGAUCCGUAGCUGGUCUGAGAGGAUGAUCAGCCACACUGGGACUGAGACACGGCCCAGACUCCUACGGGAGGCAGCAGUGGGGAAUAUUGGACAAUGGGCGCAAGCCUGAUCCAGCAAUGCCGCGUGAGUGAUGAAGGCCUUAGGGUUGUAAAGCUCUUUCGGCGGGGACGAUGAUGACGGUACCCGCAGAAGAAGCCCCGGCUAACUUCGCGCCAGCAGCCGC